Molecule: transfer RNA, 73 nt
Filed under: Stylophora pistillata
Lineage: Eukaryota; Metazoa; Cnidaria; Anthozoa; Scleractinia; Pocilloporidae
Description: tRNA-Ile
Rfam family: tRNA
About the family: Transfer RNA (tRNA) molecules are approximately 80 nucleotides in length. Their secondary structure includes four short double-helical elements and three loops (D, anti-codon, and T loops). Further hydrogen bonds mediate the characteristic L-shaped molecular structure. tRNAs have two regions of fundamental functional importance: the anti-codon, which is responsible for specific mRNA codon recognition, and the 3' end, to which the tRNAs corresponding amino acid is attached (by aminoacyl-tRNA synthetases). tRNAs cope with the degeneracy of the genetic code in two manners: having more than one tRNA (with a specific anti-codon) for a particular amino acid; and 'wobble' base-pairing, i.e. permitting non-standard base-pairing at the 3rd anti-codon position.
Source: Rfam by way of RNAcentral
GGCUUGUUAGCUCAAUUGGUAGAGCGCUGCACUAAUAUCGCAGAGGUCAGUGGUUCGAAUCCCGUACAGGCCU